GGCUCUGUGGCGCAAUGGAUAGCGCGUUGGACUUCUAGAUAAAUAAAGGUAUUCAAAGGUUGUGGGUUCGAGUCCCACCAGAGUCG
Non-coding RNA from Xenopus tropicalis (tropical clawed frog), 86 nucleotides. Lineage: Eukaryota; Metazoa; Chordata; Amphibia; Anura; Pipidae. The record is from Rfam.